This 775-nucleotide ribosomal RNA is filed under the name uncultured Neocallimastigales. Its description in RNAcentral is "partial large subunit ribosomal RNA". It matches the Rfam family "Eukaryotic large subunit ribosomal RNA", at positions 26 to 644 of the family's 3401-position model. The record is from RNAcentral. Lineage: Eukaryota; Fungi; Neocallimastigomycota; Neocallimastigomycetes; Neocallimastigales.
CGCAUCUGUGCAUGCAGCAUAUCAAUAAGCGGAGGAAAAGAAACUAACAAGGAUUCCCCUAGUAACGGCGAGUGAAGCGGGAAGAGCUCAAAUUUGAAAUCUUAAAGGGUUUCCCUUUACGAAUUGUAGUUUAAAGAAGUGUUUUCUGUUGAGGUUUUGGUAAAAGUUCUUUGGAAUAGGACAUCAUAGAGGGUGAGAAUCCCGUAUUUGACCUUUACUUUCAACUUUGUGAUACACUUUCAAAGAGUCGGAUUGUUUGGGAAUGCAGUCCAAAAUGGGUGGUAAAUUUCAUCUAAAGCUAAAUAUUGGCGAGAGACCGAUAGCGAACAAGUACCGUGAGGGAAAGAUGAAAAGAACUUUGAAAAGAGAGUUAAACAGUACGUGAAAUUGUCAAAAGGGAAGCGUUUGACACCAGUGUUGUUUUUCUGAAAAAUCAAUUAAAGAACUGUUUAUGCUAAGCUGUUUAGACUUUAUCAGCUAUCUGUUUAGUUUUGAGCUUUUCUUUAAUGCACUUUUCAGUUAACAAGUCAACAUCAAUUUCUUUUGCUGUAAAAAAGCUUGAGGAAGGUGGCUUGAGAUUCGUCUUAAGUGUUUAUAGCCUCUUGCCUAUGCAGUCGGAGAGAUUGAGGUCUGCAGCGUAGAUCCUUCGGGGCUGAAUGCAUUUGUGCUAAGUUAUAGCAUUUUAUAGACAACUUGUUGACUAUGAUUUGUCUUGUAGCUUACUCGCUUAUGUUAUUUUACCUACGCUUAGGAUGUUGAAUCUGUGCGAGACUAC